AGAUGUCAUUAAUUCCUCACAACUUGUCCCCAAUCCUGUCUCACCCUGGAGACAAAGAAGUGGCCCUGGACAUAGCUUCUGUGACUUGAGUGUGCUCCAGGGAAUCUUCUGGGCAUUGACUUCCAGGACUCUUGUGUUUUUGCUUUGCUUUGAUUUCAGGUCCACACAAGAACACGAGACACCGGUCAGUCCACUUGACAGCAGCAAGGAUCUCAUUCCAGCCAUCUAGGAUAAAAGCAGCCUCUACCAUUUCUGCAUCUCCAGAAAGGAGAACACCAUGACCUCCUUUGAAGGUUUACCAGAGCCCAACACAAUCCAUCAGUCUGACUGGAGUAGGCUUCUCCACCAGUGCUCUACUACCACUAAGCUACAAGCCCAGCUGGAAUCAACUGGAUACGUCCUCUAUCCCAAGCCCAUAGAAUUCUUCAACAGAUAAUUUUUUUAGCUUGUAGUAAGUACUAAUUGCCUGCUGGGUCUAGAGGAUUAACAGCCUUUCCCCAGGGUCUGCGGGCUGGUGGGUGGUGUGGAGAAGAAAACUCUCCAUCUCAAUUGGAUGCUAAGCUUUGUGCCUGAGACCCCUGUCCCUGGCCAAUGGGCU
Molecule: long non-coding RNA, 598 nt
Filed under: Ictidomys tridecemlineatus (thirteen-lined ground squirrel)
Lineage: Eukaryota; Metazoa; Chordata; Mammalia; Rodentia; Sciuridae
Description: lncRNA (ENSSTOG00000032939.1)
Source: RNAcentral